UGGGAACUGCUUCUAGUCUUAGUUGAACUA
Molecule: non-coding RNA, 30 nt
Filed under: Rattus norvegicus (Norway rat)
Lineage: Eukaryota; Metazoa; Chordata; Mammalia; Rodentia; Muridae
Source: RNAcentral